AGUGAACGCUGGCGGCAGGCCUAACACAUGCAAGUCGAACGGCAGCACAAGAGAGCUUGCUCUCUGGGUGGCGAGUGGCGGACGGGUGAGGAAUGCAUCGGAAUCUGCCCAUUUGUGGGGGAUAACCUCGGGAAACCGGGACUAAUACCGCAUACGACCUACGGGUGAAAGCAGGGGAUCUUCGGACCUUGCGCAGAUGGAUGAUCCGAUGCCGGAUUAGCUAGUUGGAGGGGUAAAGGCCUACCAAGGCGACGAUCCGUAGCUGGUCUGAGAGGAUGAUCAGCCACACUGGGACUGAGACACGGCCCAGACUCCUACGGGAGGCAGCAGUGGGGAAUAUUGGACAAUGGGCGCAAGCCUGAUCCAGCCAUGCCGCGUGUGUGAAGAAGGCCUUCGGGUUGUAAAGCACUUUUGUUGGGAAAGAAAAGCAGCCGGUUAAUACCCGGUUGUCAUGACGGUACCCAAAGAAUAAGCACCGGCUAACUUCGUG
RNAcentral lists this ribosomal RNA (490 nucleotides) under uncultured bacterium. RNAcentral's name for it is "partial 16S ribosomal RNA". It matches the Rfam family "Bacterial small subunit ribosomal RNA", at positions 29 to 507 of the family's 1533-position model. The record is from RNAcentral.